Molecule: non-coding RNA, 2149 nt
Organism: Kogia breviceps (pygmy sperm whale)
Lineage: Eukaryota; Metazoa; Chordata; Mammalia; Artiodactyla; Physeteridae
Source: RefSeq, a predicted model, not a curated record
UCUCGGCGGCGUGGGCUGGCGGCGGCACCUUGCAUCCUGUGGGGAUGAGAGGUUGCGCGGACUCGGGCCUGGGCCCGUAUGGACCUCCUGGCGCUGGGCCGGUGGCGACGGCGGAGGCCAGAGGAGCUGCAGGUUCCGGGGGACGCGAAACGGGCAUGCAGGAGAUUAGAAGCAGUGGCUCAGGAGCGGGGCUGCCCCCAAGUGAAGGUGCGCGUGCCCGCAUCCUGGGGCAGCAAGGAGCCCGAGUCACCGGAUGCCCAGCCCAGAGGCCACCUCCCUGCACCGAGGCCAGACGGUGGCCAGGGGCGACCAAGCGUGGGGGUUCCUCAGGACUGUGGAAAGAGCUGGGCCCAGCCUUGCCCAAGAUGCAUUGCGGGGGAGUCUGGCAGCACCCGCCUUCCGAGAAACAGGAUGCCAUCGUGGACCGGACUGCUCUGUCCCCCCGCCGCCUGGCCCACCGCUCCCUUCCUGGCCUCAGCCAGCCCAGCAAGCCUUCUGCCACCACGGCGCGGCCUUGGGGGGCAGGGGUGCCCUGCCGGCCUCUGCCAGGGGGCCACGGAGCCACACUGCUCUUUGCCGGGACGGUGGCAAGUGCGAUAAAGGGUUUUGGAUGCUGGACAAGACCUCUCAUUUCAUGGUGGCACAGUGUCUGGCCACGGGUCUGCCCCCAGCCGUCCGGUGCUCCUAGUUACUUCUGCGGGCAAAGGGACAUUUUAACCACAUGGAGAAUUAGUAGAAGAUGCAAGCUGAAAAAGGAAGAUUCCAAUUGCGGUUUCGAACCCUCAUGUGCCAGCGAAUGUAAGCCUCCCCUGGGUGGGUGUGUGUGCCCACCUGUUCAGAUAGCGCCUGGUGCCCUCCCGUCAGGAAAUCCCACCAUCCUCCUCCGCUCCAGAGCCAGAAGAGCCUCCAAAUACUACUCCUCGUGAAGCCUCCUUUCAAAUGCAUCUUUCUUGAGAAGAAGAUCAAUUGCAUUAUUUAAAAGUUUUAAAAAUUCAGUAUCAAACUUCCUGUGAGGUUUGAGAGCCUUGUAGCUUAUGGAGCCAUAUCCAGAUGUAGCCCCACUUUAUACUUUUCUAUUGUUUUGUGGAUGUAUCCAGAGCUGCUUAUGUACUCUUUUUUAAUUAAAAGUCUUAUUUUUAUAUUGAAAAUGCUCUAUAAUCUUAAACUGAAUUUCAGUAAAUGUUAGUAUCCAGUCUGUUCGGUGUGAUUCCCCAGCUCAACUUACCAGGCACAGGACCACCUUUAUGUUAAAAUGGGAAUUUCUCACCUUCUCUUGGGUUUUCAGUGUAUGGCCUGACUGUGGAGACUAGCAUUGUUCCCCUGGGUCUGCAGGCGCCCUGAGAUGCCCUUGUCACCUAGAGGUGGGUCCCGGUGAAACCACUGGGUCGUAGGCUGGCUCUCGGGUCCUUUGCCCGGGCGGGCGCAGCCCCGUGCCCGCUGUGUGGCCGUGUCCUCUGCCGGUGACGGGCUGCAGCAUCCGCGUCCCGGAGAGCCCAACCCGUAAACCAUCUUGUGUAGUCACGGAGCACCUCAUACCGGAAAGACGGGGCAGAAGAAGACACGGGGCAGAAAGGAACUUAGCGCGACCGUCUGUGAUAUGGAUUACCCACAGGCACUGGACUCGCUGCCACGUUCAGGACAGAGAGCUGACUUUUCUGUCCCCGGCGUCUUUGGAGUCGCUAGACAGUUAACCCCGAGCAAGACCGCAGAGCUGUGACUUGAUGAGGAAACGCCAGUCAAGGCCGAGAGAGAAAAGAAAGUAUUGAGAUUUGUGGCCUUAAAAAUACAUCUUUAAAGAGCUUUAAUUUGCUUCUGUCUUUUCCACAUGAGAUACACAUCUUAAUUGUUACGGUAAACGUGAAAAUUCUUAGAUGGCAACAUUUUGUUUUGUGUAUAAGCUCUUCCUUUUCCCCCAAGUUCAUGGGGUGAGGAGGUGACCACAUAUUCACAGCUAGGUGUUUUGGUAAUUGAAGCAGCACAGUGGUGGCCUCAGCCGUUUACAUGGACUGAAAGCUUUCCUUGGGGGGAAGAGCCCCUGUGCAGCACCCUGCCUGGCGCAGGACGGAUGCCCUGGGGUAGAGUCGGGCGGACUUGCGGUCGGGGCUCACCUCCCCUCGCUGCCACCGGCGUCUCGGCCGCAGUCCCUCUG